UACAGCAUAGUAUCAGCACAGUGCAGUCCAGCACAAUACAGUACAGGAUCAAUACAGUACAGCACGUACAGCACAGUACAGCACAGUACAGCACAGCACAGUACA
This 105-nucleotide microRNA precursor is filed under the name Lepisosteus oculatus (spotted gar). Its description in RNAcentral is "miRNA (ENSLOCG00000019236.1)". The record is from RNAcentral. Lineage: Eukaryota; Metazoa; Chordata; Actinopteri; Semionotiformes; Lepisosteidae.